AGAGUUUGAUCCUGGCUCAGGAUGAACGCCGGCGGUGUGCCUAAUACAUGCAAGUCGUACGCGUUGGCCCAACUGAUUUGAAGUGCUUGCACGGAUCUGACGUUGGUUUACCAACGAGUGGCGGACGGGUGAGUAACACGUAGGUAACCUGCCCAGAAGCGGGGGACAACACUUGGAAACAGGUGCUAAUACCGCAUAACAAUUCAAAUCGCAUGAUUUGAAUUUGAAAGAUGGUUUCGGCUAUCACUUCUGGAUGGACCUGCGGCGCAUUAGCUUGUUGGUGGGGUAACGGCCUACCAAGGCAGUGAUGCGUAGCCGAGUUGAGAGACUGAUCGGCCACAAUGGGACUGAGACACGGCCCAUACUCCUACGGGAGGCAGCAGUAGGGAAUCUUCCACAAUGGGCGCAAGCCUGAUGGAGCAACACCGCGUGAGUGAAGAAGGUUUUCGGAUCGUAAAGCUCUGUUGUUGAAGAAGAACGUGCAUGAGAGUAACUGUUCAUGCAGUGACGGUAUUCAACCAGAAAGUCACGGCUAACUACGUGCCAGCAGCCGCGGUAAUACGUAGGUGGCAAGCGUUAUCCGGAUUUAUUGGGCGUAAAGAGAGUGCAGGCGGUUUCUUAAGUCUGAUGUGAAAGCCUUCGGCUCAACCGAAGAAGUGCAUCGGAAACUGGGAAACUUGAGUACAGAAGAGGGCAGUGGAACUCCAUGUGUAGCGGUGGAAUGCGUAGAUAUAUGGAAGAACACCAGUGGCGAAGGCGGCUGCCUGGUCUGUAACUGACGCUGAGACUCGAAGGCAUGGGUAGCGAACAGGAUUAGAUACCCUGGUAGUCCAUGCCGUAAACGAUGAGUGCUAGGUGUUGGAGGGUUUCCGCCCUUCAGUGCCGGAGCUAACGCAUUAAGCACUCCGCCUGGGGAGUACGACCGCAAGGUUGAGACUCAAAGGAAUUGACGGGGGCCCGCACAAGCGGUGGAGCAUGUGGUUUAAUUCGAAGCUACGCGAAGAACCUUACCAGGUCUUGACAUCUUGCGCCAACCCUAGAGAUAGGGCGUUUCCUUCGGGAACGCAAUGACAGGUGGUGCAUGGUCGUCGUCAGCUCGUGUCGUGAGAUGUUGGGUUAAGUCCCGCAACGAGCGCAACCCUUGUUACUAGUUGCCAGCAUUAAGUUGGGCACUCUAGUGAGACUGCCGGUGACAAACCGGAGGAAGGUGGGGACGACGUCAGAUCAUCAUGCCCCUUAUGACCUGGGCUACACACGUGCUACAAUGGACGGUACAACGAGCAGCGAACUCGCGGGGGCAAGCAAAUCUCUUAAAACCGUUCUCAGUUCGGAUUGCAGGCUGCAACUCGCCCGCAUGAAGUCGGAAUCGCUAGUAAUCGCGGAUCAGCAUGCCGCGGUGAAUAAGUUCCCGGGCCUUGCACUCACCGCCCGUCA
This 1434-nucleotide ribosomal RNA is filed under the name uncultured bacterium. RNAcentral's name for it is "bacterial SSU rRNA". It matches the Rfam family "Bacterial small subunit ribosomal RNA". The record is from RNAcentral.